This 4978-nucleotide long non-coding RNA is filed under the name Solanum tuberosum (potato). Its description in RNAcentral is "long non-coding RNA (STUB_LNC003991)". Lineage: Eukaryota; Viridiplantae; Streptophyta; Magnoliopsida; Solanales; Solanaceae. The record is from RNAcentral.
ACUUAUAGCUAGGCCGACACCCCUUUAGCCCUAAGUCUUUACUUUAACUUUGUACUUCUUCUGACACAUUGCAUCUAAAAUUUCAUCCACACAAAGUUCUCUCCUUCAAAAUCUUCUCUCCUCGAAUACACAUCUAAAAUCUUCUUCUUCAUGGAUCUUCAGCGAUCCAGGUUUGUUUCCUUUAUUUCUAUUGUACAAUCAGUAUUCAAUUUUUAGUGUUUUUUUCGACUUUGUUUUUGCUAGUAAGAUUAUCCUGAUCCUGAUUGUAUUUUUCUAUGUUUGGUCAUCUUUACAGAUUUUUCAUGGAUCUUGAAGUUUUGUUCCAGAAUCCAGGUAAAAAAAUUCUCUCCUCUUUAUGGAUACACAGAUCUAAAAUCUCCCCUUCUUCGUGGAUACAUAGAUCCAGAAAAGAAAAAAAACCAAUCUUGAAUCACUGGUUAUGUUGUUGUAAUUUCAAUCUUUGAGUAAUCAAUGUUUGUUUUUAUAGUUGAAGCAAUCAAGAUUCAAUUUUUAUUGCUUUUUAAAGUUACUUCCAGAUCUUGUUUGUUUUAUAGAUAUAAGCUUAAAAACUGAAAUCCAAUUUCAUUGCUCUUAGACACGCCCUUAAGUUCUAACCAUAUCUGUAUCAUUCUAUUGGGCAUAGUCUGUUCCAGUAUAAACAGUUUGGCUUCAGGUUUCUCCUCAUCUAGUGCUUCUCCUAAAGCUAAUCUAGGCUUCUCCUAAAGGUUUUUUCUAUGUUCAUCUCUACAGGUUUUUCAUGUUAUCACAAACCUGGAUCUGAAACUUUGUUCCUUUUCAUGGAUACAGAUCUAAUAUAUCUCCCACUCUUCAAGGAUACAUGAUUCAUAGAUCAUAAUGGUAAGUUUUCUUGUCUAAUCUUAACUCUGUAUUUAUAUUAAAACAUUCGUUCAGUAUGUACAAAGAAGUGGUUUUUAUGAGUCAUUUGUCCAUAAAAUUUAUUAGCAAAUGAAUGUCUUUGAAUUAAUUAGACCACAUCCUAUUGGGACUUAAUUCUGUUCCAGCAUACUAUUUGUCUUCAGGUUUCUCCUAAAAGCCUCGGAAAAGCCACAGGUUCUCCCAAUCUCACAUACAUUCCUAAUAGCAUGUAGCAGUAAUCUCAUCUAAUAUGUUUUGCCUGUACUGUCAUGUUCUCUAGAGGUUGUAAGGUUGUAGGUUUCGAGAAAUAACGCCAGGAAGAUUAUCUGAUACUGAUUGUUAUUAGCUAUGUUCAUCUCUACAAUUUUUCAUGAUACCACAAACCUGAAUCUGAAAUUAUGUUCCUUUUCAUGGAUACAGAUCUAAUAUCUCCCACUCUUCACUGAUACAUGAUUCAUAUAUCAUAAUGGCUAGUUUUCUUGUCUAAUCUUCAACUCUGUAUUUAUAUCAAAAGAUUCAUUCAGUAGGUAUAGAAGUAUGUCUUAUAACAUAAAAUUAAUUAGCCAAUGAAUGUCUUUGAAUUAAUUAUGCUUGAGCCUAAGAAUAUCUGUUUCAUUCUAUUGGAACUUGUUCUGUUCCCGCAUUCCUGCUUUCUCCUAAACCUAAAGGUUCUCCAAAUCUCACAUACUCAUUAUCUCAAUUAAUUUUGUACCGCCUUUACUUUUAUAUUCAUAAAUCUUAGCUAAAAUGCACAAAUCUUAUUCAAGUUUGUUUUUUCUUCUUUCUGUCUACAAUUUGACAUGAAAGGAAAUGUUGAUUUAGAUCAGAUCUUCUCAAGUUUUCUUGUCUAAUCUUUAACUCUGUAAUUAUAUUAAAAGAGAUAUUCAUUAUGUACAAAAUGUUGAUUCAGAAUCAGCACAAGAAUUACGGUUUAUGAAGAAGUGAAGAAAAAUGACAGAAGUCAACACCAACAACAUGCUGCCCCCAGCAUAUUAUUUCAAGCGGAUCAUCCUUUGAAUCCACACAAAUUAGCAAGAACCUCAUUCUGCAGAAAAAAUCAGAGUAGGAACACUAACCUCUCUUACUGCUGUGACCUCUGUAUGAGCUGUAGGGUCAGUAUGCUUCAAACCCAUCUUAUGGCAGCUAACAACUACUUCAUUAUUGCAAACAACAUUAUUUGUCGUUUGUCAUAAAUUAGAUAUCUCUACUUAAGCAUCAUUUGAGAAGAAAACUACUCAAGCACUGCAAUAUCAAACAAAUUCAAGCCCAAUGAAUGGGAUGAUGUACAAAUUUCAACAAGAUCUGAGUAGAUUGAACACAUUGCACUGGAAAGUUAAAAGCAUUAAUCCAAAGACAUCACGACAGAAUUACCGGAUAAAGCAUAGGUUUUGUUAUUACUUCAUUGAAAAUCUCCCAUCAUAAUCCUGAUAACUACUUCAUAGAAACAUCCCCAUCAAUCUUGGCCACUAGACAGUGGUAUUGUUCCCUCCCUUGCCACCAUUUUUUCCUUGCUUGUCAUUCUUUCCUCCCUUGGUAGCUGCUGCUUGAACAUCUUUGUCAUGUCGUGCCUGAAAGUACAUGUAUAAAAAACAGGGAAGUUCUAUAAUCCAAUAAAACAAUUGCAUCAUUACUGUACCUUAGUUCCUUUCUUGCACUUGGAAACAUGGUCCAUCAAAAUACUCACCCAGCCUGCUUCAGUUGGAACAGUAAAUCCGCAUGUUGCACAAACAUUACUCAUAUCUGAAACAGGAAAUUUGUACAAUUUGUCCAUUCAUCGAGGAAAGAAAAAAAUUACAUCCUGGAACUAGGAAUAUGAAUGUAAACAGCAAAUGCUCCCAGUACAAAAGCAUUAGGUUAAUCUUUUUUCCCCCAAUUUAUGGGACUCCCAGUUUACCAUUUAAAUAAGUAAAGAUCUAUGGAACUCCCAAUUUACCAUUUGAAUCAAUUGACUACAAUCAAGCUUAAAUAGAUCAAUUGAACUCCCAAUUUACCAUUUAAAUCAAUCGAACUACAAUUACAAAAAAUAGAUCUGUGAAGAUAUCUUCACAGAUAUCUUUACUUAUUUAGAAAAGAUCUAUGGAACUCCCAAUUUACCAUUUGAAUCAAUUGACUACAAUCAAGCUUAAAUAGAUCAAUUGAACUCCCCAAUUUUACCAUUUAAAUCAAUCGAACUACAAUUACAAAAAAUAGAUCUGUGAAGAUAUCUUUACUUAUUUAGAAUUAAGCUAAAUAGAUCGAAGACGACGAUCCUUACUGAUUCAGAAUCAAGCUAAUUAGUUCGAAGAAGACGAUCCUUACUGAUUGGAAUCUUUAGCUGAUCGAUAGGCAAAGAGGAUGAAACUUGAUUCGUGACCCCUCGAAGAACUUCUCUUCUCGCUGAAUCGUCUUGUUUGAUGAUGAUUUAUGACCCUGAGAGAUACAUGGAAAUAGAGUAUUUUAACUCAAAGUCACUCAACUAAUAGUUAUUUACACCGAAAGUCACUUAACUUUCUUUUAUUAUCUCAAAGUCAUUUAACUAUAUGAAUAUUUUAUCUGUCACUUAACUAUUGUUAUUUUAUUUUAAAAAUCACCUAACCAAUUUAAAUAUUUUUUCAUUAAAUUUAGCUGAAAUACUAUUACUAUUUAACUAUUUUUUUAAAUAAUAAAAUAUUCAUUUAAGUUUUAUUGAUAUACAAUUUUUAAGUUUAACCAAUCUCUUUAAAGAGAUGAUAACUAUUAAUACAAAAACAAUAAGGUUCAGGCUGUAGCGUUUUUUUAAAGAAAUUGAAAAUGAUGCAUUCCAUUAGCAUACACCAUUACUAGAGCUGGAAGCAUUACAUUAUUUUUUUUAAAAUUAAAAUAAAACUUGUAUUCCAACAAAAUUUAAUAAAACAAUUCAAAUAAGUAUUUUAGUAUUUCUAAAGAAAUUAGUCCAAAAAAAAAUUAUGUUUCAAUAAAAUAACUAAAAUGAGCAUCUUAUUUUUUUUUAAAAUAAAUUAGUUUAAAACAAAAACUUUAGUUAAAUAAAAUUUAAUAAAAUAUAAAAAUGAGCAUCUUAUUUUUUUUUUUAAAAUAAUUGAAAACAAAAACUGUAUUUAAAAAAAUGUAAUUGGUGGGCUGACUUUCUAAAUGAAAUAUCAAUUGUUGGAUGACUUUGUAGGUAGAAUAUUCAUAGUUAAGCGACUUUGAGGUUAUAAAAGAAAGUUAAGUGACUUUAUGCGAAAGAAACUAUUUGUUGGGUAGCUUUCUAUGAAAGAAAUAUUAGUUGAGUGACUUUAAGGUUAAAAAGAAAGUCGAGUGACUUUCUAUGAAAAAUAUAUGGUCAUUGUAUACGUUAGAGUGUUCACUGAUAAUUGAGAUCAAAUUAUAGUGUCUAUCUACGUUGUAAGUUACAACCAGUAUUUCAAAAGGCUGGGACGUGAGACGGGCGUUUGGAUUAGAAAGCGUAUAAUUUAGAAUAAGCAAAAGAAGCGAACAUGGCAAUAUAAAAUUUCGUACUUGGCUUUAUUUUGUGUAAAUGCGAAUACUGAAAAGCAGACUACAUGUUCAAAUCUUUGUUUAAAAGAAAAAAAAAAUAUUACAUUUGGUUGGCCAGGUAAUGUGUUUACAUGUAACGAAUCUUUACACGGAACAUAUUCUCACAAGUUAAAGGUUUCAAAAUAUCUUUUUAGCCUAUACACCUUAUUUUUUUUAGCAACUUUCGCAUAUAGCUACUUAAAAAUAGUCUAAUUAUACUUCAUAGUUAUAGAUUGCUAAUUACGAUUCGUAGCUACAUGUUAUAGGGAGGAGAGUAGUGAGCGAGAUUGGGAGAGGGAGGAGAGAGGCGAAUUGUAUAUGUAUAUCGGUUAGAUAAUUGUAUAUUAUACAUAUGUAUUUGUAUAUAUGGCAAGUGAGAUUGGGAAAGGGAGGAGAGAGGUGAGCGAGAUUGGGAGAGGGAGGAAAAAUGCGAGUGAGAGAUGGCAAUAAUUUGUAUAAUUCGCAUAUAGUUUAUAUAAUUUGCGGAUAUGUUUGUAUAAUUCACGUGUUUUUGUAUAAUUGAGUAAUAUAAAGUCUAGAAUUAUACAAAUAUAAUAAAACUCGAAAUAACGAAUUGAUACAAACAUAAACAUACAGUUAUACAAAA